RNAcentral lists this ribosomal RNA (253 nucleotides) under uncultured bacterium. RNAcentral's name for it is "partial 16S ribosomal RNA". It matches the Rfam family "Bacterial small subunit ribosomal RNA", at positions 524 to 776 of the family's 1533-position model. The record is from RNAcentral.
UACAGAUGGUGCGAGCGUUAAUCGGAAUUACUGGGCGUAAAGCGCGCGUAGGCGGUAAUUUAAGUCAGUUGUGAAAGCCCAGGGCUCAACCUUGGAACUGCAAUUGAUACUGGGUUACUAGAGUACAGUAGAGGGGGGUGGAAUUUCCGGUGUAGCGGUGAAAUGCGUAGAUAUCGGAAGGAACAUCAGUGGCGAAGGCGGCCCCCUGGACUGAUACUGACGCUGAGGUGCGAAAGCGUGGGGAGCAAACAGG